This 538-nucleotide transfer RNA is filed under the name uncultured cyanobacterium. Its description in RNAcentral is "partial 16S-23S ribosomal RNA intergenic spacer". The stretch from base 210 to 282 matches the Rfam family "tRNA". The record is from RNAcentral. Lineage: Bacteria; Bacillati; Cyanobacteriota.
CAGGGAGACAGCAAAAUGUUUAAUAUUAUUUUGUCACCUUAGGUCGAUCGGUAUCUCACGUUCUUAAAUUUAUUAAGAAUUUCAUUUCCUAAGUUUUUCUAGGUCACACCCAUUAUUUUUCCUGGGCCAUUAGCUCAGGUGGUUAGAGCGCACCCCUGAUAAGGGUGAGGUCCCUGGUUCAAGUCCAGGAUGGCCCAUAUCUCAAUGUUGGGGGUAUAGCUCAGUUGGUAGAGCGCCUGCUUUGCAAGCAGGAUGUCAGCGGUUCGAGUCCGCUUACCUCCACUGAUUACCACCUCUGUCAUAAUUUGUAUAAAGGAAUUAUUUUGAGUUGUGAUCAAAUUCUGAACGAAUCUAGCUUCCUAAUUAAAUAAUUAAGAUGCUGGACUCAUUGAAUUAAAUUCAUUGAUUUCAGAGAACCUUGACAACUGCAUAGAUUAUUUUUAAAGACAAUAAGCAUCUUUAAUGAUGCAGAUUUAUUAUUUGUGCGAAUGCAUCAAUAACAAUUCUAUUAAGCUGAUGCUUCAAUUUUGAAGUUAUU